GUGGAGGUGUGUCUGGUCAGGGUGAAGGUAUGGGUGGAGGUAUGGGUGGAGGUGUGUCUGGUCAGGGUGAAGGUAUGGGUGGAGGUAUGGGUGGAGGUGUGUCUGGUCAGGGUGAAGGUAUGGGUGAAGGUAUGGGUGGAGGUGUGUCUGGUCAGGGUGAAGGUAUGGGUGGAGGUAUGGGUGGAGGUGUGUCUGGUCAGGGUGAAGGUAUGGGUGGGGGUAUGGGUGGAGGUGUGUCUGGUCAGGGUGAAGGUAUGGGUGGAGGUAUGGGUGGAGGUGUGUCUGGUCAGGGUGAAGGUAUGGGUGGAGGUAUGGGUGGAGGUGUGUCUGGUCAGGGUGGAG
RNAcentral lists this long non-coding RNA (342 nucleotides) under Salmo salar (Atlantic salmon). RNAcentral's name for it is "lncRNA (ENSSSAG00000095080.1, ENSSSAG00000105749.1)". The record is from RNAcentral. Lineage: Eukaryota; Metazoa; Chordata; Actinopteri; Salmoniformes; Salmonidae.